This is a non-coding RNA of Amborella trichopoda, 1110 nucleotides long. The record is from RefSeq and is a predicted model, not a curated record. Lineage: Eukaryota; Viridiplantae; Streptophyta; Magnoliopsida; Amborellales; Amborellaceae.
UGAAGGUAGGCUCUAAUUCUCUCUCUCAAAUUCCUCUCUCUUCCUCUCUCUAAAAUUUCCCGUCUCUCGCUACAUGCAUAUGGACCACUACAAGGUCCUUGAGCUGAGGAGCGAUGCCACGAAGGAAGAGAUCAAGGAAGCGUUCAGGAAACUAGCUCUGAAAUUCCACCCAGAUAGGCACACCCACUCCUCAAAAGAGAUCAAAGAAAGCUCAAUUCACCGGUUUAAGCAGAUUUCAGAAGCUUAUGACAUAUUGGGUGAUGAUAAAAAGAGGGCAAAUUAUGAUAGAGGAAGGGGACCUUUCAAUAGAGGGGUCAAUUAUUCAGGAAGUUAUGGUUUCUAUAAAAGUUCUUACAGACCAAGAACAAGACCCAAGUCCAGUAAUUACAGUGGGUUUGAUUCUGGUAUUCUUUUUCAGUUCUUAACCCAAAGGCGGUUUCUUCUUAAUGUGGCCUUUGCAAGUAUCUUGUUUGGCGGGGCCGUUUUCAUAAAAACAAGUGGGGAUGCAAUAUGGAAGAUGCGUAACUCUGGGCAGCUAUAUGGUGGAGUUGUCACUUUGAAAAGCCCAUGCCAAUAUUCAGAAAAUGGGGGAAAAUACUCCAGGCCAAGGCAGUCUCCCAAAUGAAGGUGGGGGGAUAUGGUGUCUUCCGUCAAGGUUUUUGCCAUCAAGUGACCACCUAGGUUGUGUCAAAGGUGCUUUCAUCAAUAACCUGGCUCAGUGGCAGGAGAUUCCAUAGAUUCGGGCCACGGGGCGCAGAAAAUGAGACAGGAGAAAUCAUUUGAAGAAGCAAUGGAGUCUAUAGAGAGGAAGCGCAGGGAAAAAGUCGAAUAGAAGAGCAUUCAAAUGGAUAACACUCAAAUGUGUAUAAAGGAUUUUAUGUCCUCACUGAAAAGGUGGAGAGAUGAGUUCUGAUUCUUGUAGCAAAGGUGCCUAAUAGUGUGCUCUCUGCAGUUCUUUUUUGAAUGUUAAAGUUCUCUUUGCAGUUCUUUUAAAUGCUGUGAUAAUUUCUUAUUUUGCUUUUGUAUUAUUCUGAGCAUUCAUUAUGUAUUCACUAUGUGAUGGUUCUUGUAUUCUAAACAUGAAUGAAGUAUUCUUCUCCGUUCUUUGUC